This 452-nucleotide ribosomal RNA is filed under the name uncultured bacterium. RNAcentral describes it as "bacterial SSU rRNA". It matches the Rfam family "Bacterial small subunit ribosomal RNA", at positions 340 to 786 of the family's 1533-position model. The record is from RNAcentral.
UACGGAAGGCAGCAGUGGGGAAUAUUGCACAAUGGGCGCAAGCCUGAUGCGGCCAUGCCGCGUGUAUGAAGAAGGCCUUCGGGUUGUAAAGUACUUUCAGCGGGGAGGAAGGCGGUGAAGUUAAUAGCUUCACCGAUUGACGUUACCCGCAGAAGAAGCACCGGCUAACUCCGUGCCAGCAGCCGCGGUAAUACGGAGGGUGCAAGCGUUAAUCGGAAUUACUGGGCGUAAAGCGCACGCAGGCGGUCUGUCAAGUCGGAUGUGAAAUCCCCGGGCUUAACCUGGGAACUGCAUUCGAAACUGGCAGGCUAGAGUCUUGUAGAGGGGGUAGAAUUCCAGGUGUAGCGGUGAAAUGCGUAGAGAUCUGGAGGAAUCCGGUGGCGAAGGCGGCCCCUGGGACAAGACUGACGCUCAGGUGCGAAAGCGUGGGGAGCAAACGAGGAUUAGAUACC